CCUCUGUUGAUUACGUAACUCAAUGACAGUGCUCUGCCUCGGCGCUGCCACAGAUUCUCUGCUAACUAGAAGCUGAGGGAAUACAUGGUGUGCAUGCAGUCUGCUGCACUGUAUCAAACUGAGUGACGAGAGAGGGAGAAGCAGUAGGACGGUAAGCGAGAGGAAGGCUCUGCUCUUGUCUGGUGCACAGCCAGUGAUAAACACAAAGUGACAGGCGUGGCAAAGAUGGGUCUUCUGCUCAUGCAAUGCAUUCUGGGCUUUCAGGGCGGACUCCCUGGCACAGUAGGUGAGGAAGGCACAGCCUGAAACACAGCAAAAGGAAGACAUAAUUAGAGCUGGC
Molecule: long non-coding RNA, 340 nt
Organism: Syngnathus acus (greater pipefish)
Lineage: Eukaryota; Metazoa; Chordata; Actinopteri; Syngnathiformes; Syngnathidae
Exons: 3
Source: RefSeq, a predicted model, not a curated record